Melospiza melodia melodia is the source of this 1583-nucleotide long non-coding RNA. RefSeq lists it as uncharacterized. The transcript is spliced from 4 exons. Lineage: Eukaryota; Metazoa; Chordata; Aves; Passeriformes; Passerellidae. The record is from RefSeq and is a predicted model, not a curated record.
CUGUCUGGGCGCUCCGCGGAGCAGCGCUCCCUCCGGAGCUGGAGGCAGAUGGUCGCUGGGGAGCCCCGUGCCAGGUCUGGGUGACAGGAGCGGAAAGGCAGGGACAGCCACAGCCGGAUGAGACACUUCUCUUCCUCCCUGGAUGUCACAGGCUGGAAACACCAGAGGCAGAACUCUCCAGAGCUCACCACCCUGUUUGCAGCCUCAUGGAUCAAUGCUCUCAGGAGGGAAGUGCAGCAUCCUGGCAGCCCAGCAGCCUCAAGCCCCUGUGCUGAUCCUCUGCUGAUGUUUGGGGGGUGUUUGUAAACAAUGCAGAGUUCUGGGCUGAAGAAGACAGAAGAGAGGAUAAUCUAAAGGCUUCUUGGUAGCUACUGCAAGCCUGUCUUUUGUCUCUUCUGUUCAGCCUGAGAAUAACGGCUGAAAUCUAACAUCUGGUGUAACUGUACAAACCUGACCUUAGGUCACAGUAAGUAUUGUAUUGUUGAUGAUGGAUACGCUUUUUUCAUUACCAUGCUGUCUCCAUUCUUUCAGCAUCCAUGCUGUGAAUCUCCAGUUAUAGCUGGGACUAUUGAUAAAUACUGAUUUUUAAAAUACAAUUCGCUUUUUUUUUUUUACACUUUUAAGCAUGCAUUGUACGGUAUUUUCUUUUUAAAUAGCUCUUCUAGUUUGUUGUCAACAAUAUGCUAUUAUUUGAACAAACUUUUCUGCAUGAUAGCUCUAACACACAAGGAUCAAGGAUUAUAUGUCUGAAGAUGCUGCUAUGAUCCUGAAAGAGCAGUGUCACAAGAAGGUGAUCCUCUGCCUCUAAUGCCUUCCCCUGUACUUUCCUCUUUGGAAAAUUGUUUCCUUAAAGCCCUUGCAGAACCAGGGUUUAAGGUUUAAAUUGGGAAGCAGAUGUGGACACCUGUGAAUGUGUCUUUGCACAUCACUGUUUCAAGGUUUCAGCCCCUGUGCAGGAAAUGAGGCCCUGCACUGUCCUGGGUGAUUGAUGUCCAUUAUUCCCCAGAGCUGGGGUAAUUCACCCUGGGUAGGGACUGGGCAGGAGCAGUUCUGGAACCAGUGCUCCCAGCAAGCCCAGGGAAGUACCAGUCAAGAGAAGACGUUGCCCUCAUGGCUGGGAGUUCUGGUCAGAUCUUAAAUUCAUAAAACCCACCAGAAGCUCCAACACUGAACUGGGAGAGUGAGGGCAAAUUUAAUGAUGAUUUCUAUUUGUUUCUUUUGCUGACUGUAUCUAUCCCCUGAACCUUUCCAUUUUUUCAGCUCUCCAAGAGCGUCACAAGACUCUUAGCACAAAGCUUGAAUUUUUUUUCACCCUAAAGCUGUGCAAACACAAACCUCUUUUCCAAUCCUUUGGGCAGCAGAUGCCCAGGCUCAUUCAGACUUGACUCUUUUGGAUGGAAAUCCUGACUGGGAUUGCUGAAUGUACUGUCAGCAAAAGAGGAAUGUGUCCUAUCCUAAUCCUGAGGUUGUAAUGCACAUGCUGUGUUCUUGCUGGGUGCUAAUAUUCCUUCAUGAUGUUACUGCAUCAUGCAGUGGAGAUAAAACAGAAUUUCCUUGGCUCAUCCUCGUGCUCCCUGAAAUCC